GUUAAGCGACUAAGCGUACACGGUGGAUGCCCUGGCAGUCAGAGGCGAUGAAGGACGUGCUAAUCUGCGAUAAGCGUCGGUAAGGUGAUAUGAACCGUUAUAACCGGCGAUUUCCGAAUGGGGAAACCCAGUGUGAUUCGUCACACUAUCAUUAACUGAAUCCAUAGGUUAAUGAGGCGAACCGGGGGAACUGAAACAUCUAAGUACCCCGAGGAAAAGAAAUCAACCGAGAUUCCCCCAGUAGCGGCGAGCGAACGGGGAGCAGCCCAGAGCCUGAAUCAGUGUGUGUGUUAGUGGAAGCGUCUGGAAAGGCGCGCGAUACAGGGUGACAGCCCCGUACACAAAAAUGCACAUGCUGUGAGCUCGAUGAGUAGGGCGGGACACGUGGUAUCCUGUCUGAAUAUGGGGGGACCAUCCUCCAAGGCUAAAUACUCCUGACUGACCGAUAGUGAACCAGUACCGUGAGGGAAAGGCGAAAAGAACCCCGGCGAGGGGAGUGAAAAAGAACCUGAAACCGUGUACGUACAAGCAGUGGGAGCACGCUUAGGCGUGUGACUGCGUACCUUUUGUAUAAUGGGUCAGCGACUUAUAUUCUGUAGCAAGGUUAACCGAAUAGGGGAGCCGAAGGGAAACCGAGUCUUAACUGGGCGUUAAGUUGCAGGGUAUAGACCCGAAACCCGGUGAUCUAGCCAUGGGCAGGUUGAAGGUUGGGUAACACUAACUGGAGGACCGAACCGACUAAUGUUGAAAAAUUAGCGGAUGACUUGUGGCUGGGGGUGAAAGGCCAAUCAAACCGGGAGAUAGCUGGUUCUCCCCGAAAGCUAUUUAGGUAGCGCCUCGUGAAUUCAUCUCCGGGGGUAGAGCACUGUUUCGGCAAGGGGGUCAUCCCGACUUACCAACCCGAUGCAAACUGCGAAUACCGGAG
RNAcentral lists this ribosomal RNA (925 nucleotides) under Escherichia coli. RNAcentral's name for it is "partial 23S ribosomal RNA". It matches the Rfam family "Bacterial large subunit ribosomal RNA", at positions 1 to 968 of the family's 2925-position model. The record is from RNAcentral. Lineage: Bacteria; Pseudomonadati; Pseudomonadota; Gammaproteobacteria; Enterobacterales; Enterobacteriaceae.